This 301-nucleotide ribosomal RNA is filed under the name uncultured bacterium. Its description in RNAcentral is "partial 16S ribosomal RNA". It matches the Rfam family "Bacterial small subunit ribosomal RNA", at positions 509 to 807 of the family's 1533-position model. The record is from RNAcentral.
CAGCCGCCACGGUAAUACGAAGGGUGCAAGCGUUAAUCGGAAUUACUGGGCGUAAAGCGUGCGUAGGCGGUGAGUUAAGUCUGCUGUGAAAUCCCCGGGCUCAACCUGGGAAUGGCAGUGGAUACUGGCUCGCUAGAGUGUGUCAGAGGAUGGUGGAAUUCCCGGUGUAGCGAUGAAAUGCGUAGAGAUCGGGAGGAACAUCAGUGGCGAAGGCGGCCAUCUGGGACAACACUGACGCUGAGGCACGAAAGCGUGGGGAGCAAACAGGAUUAGAUACCCCCGUAGUCCCUGUCUCUUAUAC